Molecule: ribosomal RNA, 726 nt
Filed under: uncultured bacterium
Lineage: Bacteria
Description: bacterial SSU rRNA
Rfam family: Bacterial small subunit ribosomal RNA
Source: RNAcentral
UAACACNUAGGGAACCUGCCCGUGCACCGGGAAUACGCUCUGGAAACGGAGAACAAAUCCCGAUGUACAGGAAGGAGGCAUCUUCUUUCUGUGAAACAUCCUCUAGGGGAUGGGGCGCGGAUGGACCUGCGGUGCAUUAGUUGGUUGGCGGGGUAAAGGCCCACCAAGACGAUGAUGCAUAGCCGGCCUGAGAGGGCGGACGGCCACAUUGGGACUGAGACACGGCCCAGACUCCUGCGGGAGGCAGCAGUAGGGAAUUUUCGUCAAUGGGCGCAAGCCUGAACGAGCGAUGCCGCGUGAGUGAAGAAGGCCUUCGGGUCGUAAAGCUCUGUUGCGGGGGAAAAAAGGCAGCAUCAGGAAAUGAGUGCUGACUGAUGGUGCCCCGCCAGAAAGUCACGGCUAACUACGUGCCAGCAGCCGCGGUAAUACGUAGGUGGCGAGCGUUAUCCGGAAUGAUUGGGCGUAAAGGGUGCGCAGGCGGUCCUGCAAGUCUGGAGUGAAACGCAUGAGCUCAACUCAUGCAUGGCUUUGGAAACUGGAGGACUGGAGAGCAGGAGAGGGCGGUGGAACUCCAUGUGUAGCGGUAAAAUGCGUAGAUAUAUGGAAGAACACCAGUGGCGAAGGCGGCCGCCUGGCCUGUUGCUGACGCUGAGGCACGAAAGCGUGGGGAGCAAAUAGGAUUAGAUACCCUAGUAGUCCACGCCGUAAACGAUGAGGACCAAGUGU